CAAGGUGUAGUUUAUAUAAAAAUAUCAGUUUUGGGAAUUGAAGAUGUCUAAAUUGAUCAGCUUGA
This 65-nucleotide transfer RNA is filed under the name Paratapes undulatus (undulate venus clam). RNAcentral describes it as "tRNA-Pro". Lineage: Eukaryota; Metazoa; Mollusca; Bivalvia; Venerida; Veneridae. The record is from RNAcentral.